This 775-nucleotide ribosomal RNA is filed under the name uncultured Neocallimastigales. Its description in RNAcentral is "partial large subunit ribosomal RNA". It matches the Rfam family "Eukaryotic large subunit ribosomal RNA", at positions 22 to 633 of the family's 3401-position model. Lineage: Eukaryota; Fungi; Neocallimastigomycota; Neocallimastigomycetes; Neocallimastigales. The record is from RNAcentral.
UGUGUAUCAGUACAUGGCAUAUCAAUAAGCGGAGGAAAAGAAACUAACUAGGAUUCCCUCAGUAACGGCGAGUGAAGCGGGAAGAGCUCAAAUUUGAAAUCUUCAAGGUUCUACCUUGACGAAUUGUAGUUUAAAGAAGUGUUUUCUGUUGGAGUUUUGGUAAAAGUUCUUUGGAAUAGGACAUCAUAGAGGGUGAGAAUCCCGUAUUUGACCAUUAUUUCCAACUUUGUGAUACACUUUCAAAGAGUCGGAUUGUUUGGGAAUGCAGUCCAAAAUGGGUGGUAAAUUUCAUCUAAAGCUAAAUACUGGCGAGAGACCGAUAGCGAACAAGUACCGUGAGGGAAAGAUGAAAAGAACUUUGAAAAGAGAGUUAAACAGUACGUGAAAUUGUCAAAAGGGAAGCGUUUGACACCAGUGUUGUUUUCUCGAAAAUCAAUUAAAAAUGGUGGGAUGUUGUGUUGUAUUGACUUUAUCAGCUUUCUGCACUUUUUUUCCUAUCUUUUUUAAUGCACUUUUCGUUUAACAAGUCAACAUCAAUUUCUUUUGUUGUAAAAGAGUCAUUGGAAGGUGGCUUUCUUUUCGGAGAAAGUGUUUAUAGCCUUUGGCUUCUGCAAUCGGAGAGAUUGAGGUCUGCAGCGUAGAUCCUUCGGGGUUAGAUACAUUUGUGCUAAGUUAUAGCCUUUCAUAGACAACUUGUUGACUAUGAUCAGUCAUGUAGCUUACUCGCUUAUGUCAUUUUACCUACGCUUAGGAUGUUGACAGCAGUAUAGACUGU